GAUGAACGCUGGCGGCGUGCCUAAUACAUGCAAGUCGAGCGAACAGACGAGGAGCUUGCUCCUCUGACGUUAGCGGCGGACGGGUGAGUAACACGUGGAUAACCUACCUAUAAGACUGGGAUAACUUCGGGAAACCGGAGCUAAUACCGGAUAAUAUAUUGAACCGCAUGGUUCAAUAGUGAAAUACGGUUUUUCUGUCACUUAUAGAUGGAUCCGCGCCGCAUUAGCUAGUUGGUAAGGUAACGGCUUACCAAGGCAACGAUGCGUAGCCGACCUGAGAGGGUGAUCGGCCACACUGGAACUGAGACACGGUCAAGACUCCUACGGGAGGCAGCAGUAGGGAAUCUGCCGCAAUGGGCGAAAGCCUGACGGAGCAACGCCGCGUGAGUGAUGAAGGUCUUCGGAUCGUAAAACUCUGUUAUUAGGGAAGAACAAAUGUGUAAGUAACUAUGCACGUCUUGACGGUACCUAAUCAGAAAGCCACGGCUAACUACGUG
RNAcentral lists this ribosomal RNA (497 nucleotides) under uncultured bacterium. Its description in RNAcentral is "partial 16S ribosomal RNA". It matches the Rfam family "Bacterial small subunit ribosomal RNA", at positions 28 to 507 of the family's 1533-position model. The record is from RNAcentral.